Aotus nancymaae (Ma's night monkey) is the source of this 104-nucleotide small nucleolar RNA. NCBI's taxonomy places the organism in Eukaryota, Metazoa, Chordata, Mammalia, Primates, Aotidae. The record is from Ensembl.
CCCCUGUGAUAAGUUGUCAUGCUAAUACAGAGACACCAGUUAGGGAGUUUUACCCUAUAUUGGGUGUUGUUGAAAUAAACUCUUUCUCAUAAAUCCUGAGGGGC